Molecule: long non-coding RNA, 1343 nt
Filed under: Mytilus galloprovincialis (Mediterranean mussel)
Lineage: Eukaryota; Metazoa; Mollusca; Bivalvia; Mytilida; Mytilidae
Source: RNAcentral
AUCCGGUAAAAUGUCUUUAUGGUGUUGCAGAGUGACAUACUUAUGAUUUUGAACGUUCAAAAAUUAGAUAUGGUCGAUACAGGUUAACAAGCAAUGUUUUUAUUUGUAACUACCAUUGACAAUAGUAGUUAAUGCCACUUGCACCCUUUGCCAAGUACAGUUGGCAUCUUCAAUUUUGAUAACGCUUGUUCAUGGUCGAUACAGGUUAACAUGCACCCUUUGCCAAGUACAGUUGUUGGCAUCUUCAAUUUUGAUAACGCUUGUUCAUGGUCGAUACAGGUUAACAUGCACCCUUUGCCAAGUACAGUUGGCAUCUGCAAUUUUGAUAACGCUUGCUCAGUCGAUACAGGUUAACAUGUGCACCCUUUGCCAAGUACAGUUGGCAUCUUCAAUUUUGAUAACGCUUGUUCAUGGUCGAUACAGGUUAACAUGUGCACCCUUUGCCAAGUACAGUUGGCAUCUUCAUUUGAUAACGUGCUCAUGGUCGAUACAGGUUAACAUGCACCCUUUGCCAAGUACAGUUGGCAUCUGCAAUUUUGAUAACGCUUGCUCAUUUGAAGUGACUAUAUAUACGAGGAAUUGUAUUUACUAUUUCUAAUAUUCUGUCGGCCACUACUGUUCCAAAUUCCUCAUUUUACCUGACGAGGAUUAAGUUAUGAUUUAUAGACCAACUUCUCAAUGCUAAUGAGCGAAAAGUUUACGAUUUGAGAAUGACAAGAUCAACUGAUGUAUAUCCUAAGGAAAAACACAUACCAAUCAUAUUAUACGAGAAUGUAUAGGUCAUGUCUUUAUUAUGCUGAAAUCAAUUUUAACUCUUUCAUUCUUCCCUGACUUCCUCAAGCACAUGAUUUAAGAAGGGGUAACCCAUGGGCUAAAAGUCGAACCUUAAGUAAUUUUUAAGGAAGGGAAAAUGCACCUGUGAGCCAUUUUUAAUUGGCAUAAAGGGACAUCUAACUGACUUGCUCUGCUUUCCUUUUAAGCUUUACUGUAUGUUAAAUUAAAAACACAUUAGACCCUAGGCCUGUGAUACAACUAACCGAGUUUCGAUUUGUUAAAUUAUAGAUGCAAUAGACCAUCUAUUACUCUUGCAUCCUUUUCACUAUUUAUUGAUUUGCUGUUCUGUGUUGUGAAAUCAAUAUUCACAAAUUAAAUGUGACACGCUGAACUGACAUUAAAAUACAGAUGUUGAAGGAGAAAAAAAAAACCAAGCAAAAAACGAAAAACAAGCAAAAACAAAACAAAAAAAAAAAAACACUACACAAACAUAAGUUCAGCGGAAAAUUCCAUUGGUGGUCACACGAUUAUAAUUCGCUGUGUAGUGGACAUAAUUAUUUUUCCGGCCG